UUAUCUGCCCACUGAAUAUAAAUUUUUAAAGGGCCGCAGUAUUUUGACUGUGCAAAGGUAGCAUAAUCAUUAGUCUUUUAAUUGAAGGCUAGUAUGAAUGAUUGGACGAGGAAAAUUCUGUUUUAUAAUUAUAAGUGUUGAAUUUUGAUUUUAAGUAAAAAUACUUAGAUGUAAUUAAGGGACGAGAAGACCCUAUAGAAUUUAAUAAAUUAAGUUCUAAUUUUGUUUAAUAUAAAUUUUUAAUUAUAAUAUUAUUUAUUUAAUUGGGGUGAUUAAAAGAUAAAAAUAACUCUUUUUUAUGAUAAAUAUUAUGAAUAAUUUAAAAAUCCAUAUUUAAUGAUUAUAAGAUUAAAUUACCUUAGGGAUAACAGCAUUAUUUUUUUUAAGAGUUCUUAUCGAAAAAAAAGAUUGUGACCUCGAUGUUGGAUUAAGAUAAAUUUUGAAUGUAAAUGUUUAAAAAUUGGGUCUGUUCGACCUUUAAAAUCUUACA
RNAcentral lists this ribosomal RNA (490 nucleotides) under Pseudopogonogaster kanjaris. Its description in RNAcentral is "partial 16S ribosomal RNA". It matches the Rfam family "Bacterial large subunit ribosomal RNA", at positions 1854 to 2600 of the family's 2925-position model. The record is from RNAcentral. Lineage: Eukaryota; Metazoa; Arthropoda; Insecta; Mantodea; Thespidae.